UCUAGCAGAAGAGGAGCACUGCCCAGGCAGAUGUUUUGUGGAGCCUCAACUCCAAUACAGAACAUUCAGGGGGAGUAGUGCCGAGGUGAAUCAAAGUUGUGGCUUUGGUUUAUCGGUUGAACGGGCUGAAUCCCUUCAACUGUCAUCAGCUCGAAUCUGAUGAAGAGCUUCUGAGGGA
Molecule: regulatory RNA element, 178 nt
Organism: Vibrio cholerae O1
Lineage: Bacteria; Pseudomonadati; Pseudomonadota; Gammaproteobacteria; Vibrionales; Vibrionaceae
Rfam family: Lysine riboswitch aptamer
About the family: Riboswitches are metabolite binding domains within certain messenger RNAs that serve as precision sensors for their corresponding targets. Allosteric rearrangement of mRNA structure is mediated by ligand binding, and this results in modulation of gene expression.
Source: Rfam